UACGUAGGGGGCAAGCGUUGUCCGGAAUCAUUGGGCGUAAAGCGCGUGUAGGCGGUUCGGUAAGUCUGCUGUGAAAGUCCAGGGCUCAACCCUGGGAUGCCGGUGGAUACUGUCGGACUAGAGUACGGAAGAGGCGAGUGGAAUUCCCGGUGUAGCGGUGAAAUGCGUAGAUAUCAAGAGGAACACCUGAGGUGAAGACGGGUUGCUGGGCCAACACUGACGCUGAGGCACGAAAGUGUGGGGAGCAAACAGG
This 253-nucleotide ribosomal RNA is filed under the name uncultured bacterium. RNAcentral describes it as "partial 16S ribosomal RNA". It matches the Rfam family "Bacterial small subunit ribosomal RNA", at positions 524 to 776 of the family's 1533-position model. The record is from RNAcentral.